GAUGAAGAACGUAGCGAAAUGCGAUAAGUAGUGUGAAUUGCAGAAUUCAGUGAAUCAUCGAAUCUUUGAACGCACAUUGCGCCCCUUGGUAUCCCGAGGGGCAUGCCUGUUCGAGCGUCAUUUCACCACUCAAGCCUGGCUUGGUGUUGGGCGACGUCCCCUUUAGGGACGCGCCUCGAAACGCUCGGCGGCGUGGCACCGGCUUUAAGCGUAGCAGAAUCUUUCGCUUUGGAAGUCGGGGCCCCACCUGCCGGAAUACCUACUCGUAAGGUUGACCUCGGAUCAGGCAGGGAUACCCGCUGAACUUAAGCAUAUCAAUAAGCGGAGGA
Molecule: unclassified non-coding RNA, 329 nt
Filed under: soil metagenome
Description: partial contains 5.8S ribosomal RNA, internal transcribed spacer 2, and large subunit ribosomal RNA
Rfam family: 5.8S ribosomal RNA (bases 1-120)
Source: RNAcentral